GUGAAAAUCAGUUUAAUUUGAAUUUAAAAUUUUAUUAAUUUUUUUUGUAUUGUUUUUGUUUUUAAAAUAAUAAUUAUUUUUAGUAUUUUUUAGAGAAAAAAUUUAUUUUAUGAUAGUUUAUAAGUAUAGUGAUAGAAUAAUUAAAUAAUGUUUUUAAAUUUUUAAAAGAAUAAUUAAUUUUUAGUACCUUGUGUAUCAGGGUUUAUUAAAUAAAUUUUAAAUAUUUAAAUUUCUCGAAUUUAAAAGAGCUAAGAAGUUAUUUAUUUUUAUUGUAGAAUAAAUAUUUUAAAUAAUUUUUUUGUAAUGAAACGUUAUUCGUUUUUAAAUAUAUCUAGUUUUCUAAGAAAUGAAUUUAAUUCAGGAUUUUAUUUGAAUAUUAUUAUUGUUUAUUUUAUUCAAUUUAAAAUACUAAUAAUUUUAGGGAUAAGCUUAAAAUUAAAUUUUUAUAAUUUAAUAUUUUUAUUAAGAUAAAUAUAAUUAGAAUUUUUAAUUUUUAUUAAUAUGUAAUAAUUAAUCUUAUUUAAUUUAAUAUUUAUAUUAAAUUUAAGUUUUUUAUUAGAAAUUUUAAUUUAAUUGUAUAGUUGAAGUUAUAAUGAUAAAAUUAGUAUAUUUUUAUUUUAUAUUUAAUUUAAUUUUUAAGGUUAAGUUAAGGAAUUCGGCAAAUAUUUUUUUCACCUGUUUAAUAAAAACAUGGCCUUUUGUUAAUAAUUUAAGGUCUAACCUGCCCAAUGAUUUAUUUAAUGGCCGCAGUAUUUUGACUGUGCAAAGGUAGCAUAAUCAUUAGUUUCUUAAUUAGGGACUGGAAUGAAUGGUUGGAUGAGAAAAAAACUGUCUUUAUUUAAUUUUAUUAGAAUUUUAUUUUUAAGUUAAAAAGCUUAAAUUUAAUUUAAAGACGAGAAGACCCUAUAGAGUUUAAUUUAAUUUAAAAUAUUUAUUUUAAAGAAUUUAAUUAUAAAUAUUUUAAAUUAAAUUUAAUUGGGGUGAUUAAGAAAUUUAAUGAACUUUCUUUUUGUUUUAUCAUUGAUUUAUGAUUUUGUUGAUCCAGAUUUUUUGAUUAUAAGAUUAAAUUACCUUAGGGAUAACAGCGUAAUUUUUUUGGAGAGUUCUAAUCGAUAAAAAAGUUUGCGACCUCGAUGUUGGAUUAAAAUUUAGGAUUGGUGCAGUAGCUAAUCUUUUAGGUCUGUUCGACCUUUAAAAUUUUACAUGAUCUGAGUUUAAACCGGUGUGAGCCAGGUUGGUUUCUAUCUUGAAUUUAUUAUAAUAUUUUAGUACGAAAGGACCAAUUAUUAGUAAUAUUUACUUUUUUUGAAUAAUAUU
RNAcentral lists this ribosomal RNA (1317 nucleotides) under Sternolophus rufipes. RNAcentral describes it as "16S ribosomal RNA". The stretch from base 1078 to 1236 matches the Rfam family "Archaeal large subunit ribosomal RNA", at positions 2542 to 2701 of the family's 2987-position model. Lineage: Eukaryota; Metazoa; Arthropoda; Insecta; Coleoptera; Hydrophilidae. The record is from RNAcentral.